GGCUGACCUACCUGCAUUCUGGUAGGACUGGCUCAAGUGAGUUACGUUUUACCUCUGUGCUCCCUUUCUGCUUAAAGCAGGAAGGGGCGAGAGGCGGGUGAAGAUCAGUUGAGGAGAGAGACAGCCUCUCCAUCCCCUUUUUUUGUUGGCAUUUGCAGUGGAAGGGAUUGAUGGCUACUGGGGAGGACAUUGAAUGGCUUGAUCUGCCUGGCAAGUGGACCUAUGGAGUUUGCAGGGACGGGCGAAUCUUCUUUAUCAAUGAUGAAACAAAAUCUACUUGCUGGACUCAUCCAGGAAGUGGCUAUUCCAUCCAGAGUGGGCACUUUUCCUGGCCAGAUAUGCCCAAAGGCUGGGAAAUGGACACCACCUCAAUGGGAACUACUUUUUUCA
Long non-coding RNA from Thamnophis elegans (Western terrestrial garter snake), 390 nucleotides. RefSeq lists it as uncharacterized. The transcript has 3 exons. The record is from RefSeq and is a predicted model, not a curated record. NCBI's taxonomy places the organism in Eukaryota, Metazoa, Chordata, Lepidosauria, Squamata, Natricidae.